Long non-coding RNA from Triticum aestivum (bread wheat), 614 nucleotides. RefSeq lists it as uncharacterized. NCBI's taxonomy places the organism in Eukaryota, Viridiplantae, Streptophyta, Magnoliopsida, Poales, Poaceae. The transcript has 2 exons. The record is from RefSeq and is a predicted model, not a curated record.
AUCCCCUCAACAAAUAAUCUCCCAACAUUUCAAAAAAAAAAAAAUCUCCCAAACCCUAAAAAAAAUCUCCCAGGCGGGCGGCGAUUUUCCUGCCGUGGCGGUUGCCCGAGAAAAAUAUCGGGAGGCUGACGAGCGGAUGUUGAAGAAGCAGGAGCAGCCGGCGGAGGGGAGGGGGCCAAAUCAUCUCGACGCGAGUACGACCCCGUACAGAGGGAAUACACAUACACCCGCUUCUUCAACCCCAGACUCGAUCUCGAUAAGUUGUGUAUGCUGCAGCAACAAAGAGCUAGUCGUCGUCGUAUGACAAUGAGACAACAAAUCGAGAAAUUACAUGAGGAAGCUACGACCACGCACUGCAAGGUGGUCCCGAGACUCUUGGAGCAUGAAGAGAUAUGGAGAGGGAAUUUUUUUAAGAGGCUCUCCAUAUAAAGAUAUGGGGGUUUCUUUGGCGAUGCUCUAGCUAAAUAUUAUACAAUAUUCAUGAAGGAAAAAAUAUGCUGCGGAAUAUAACAGCAUAUGAGAUGGUAAGUUCUGUGUUUGCGGAAACAAACCAUUCCCUGCAUCAUGAUGUUGGCACGGUACUGCCAUGGUAAUAUCUCUUAGAAUUAGAAGUG